AAUUGUUAGCUGUUAAAUAGUCAUUUAAUAAUGACCUGUUUAUACGCUUAUUUAUCAUUGUAAUCUAAUUUUAAAUUUCUUAAUUUUGUUUCGUGAACCUUCACAGUUCUAGAUUAUCUGAACUAAUCCUAUGAUGACAUCAAUUUUUCAUCGUUGGUCACUUUCUUAUCGCAAUCUAUGCUGAUUUUGAUGAAAAAUGGACUCUUAAGUUUCGUUCGACUAUUUAUCGUAGUUGGCUCUAAAAUAUGGAUUUUGUCUUCGGCGAACUUGCAACAAAAAGUAAGAUUAAAUUAUUUAAUGACUGGUCAAACCACGAAGACGAUCUUAAAUUCUUUAUAAUAAAGUUAAAAUUUUGAAUUCAA
This is a non-coding RNA of Tetranychus urticae (two-spotted spider mite), 362 nucleotides long. The record is from RefSeq and is a predicted model, not a curated record. NCBI's taxonomy places the organism in Eukaryota, Metazoa, Arthropoda, Arachnida, Trombidiformes, Tetranychidae.